Molecule: ribosomal RNA, 481 nt
Filed under: uncultured bacterium
Lineage: Bacteria
Description: partial 16S ribosomal RNA
Rfam family: Bacterial small subunit ribosomal RNA
Source: RNAcentral
GAUGAACGCUGGCGGCGUGCUUAACACAUGCAAGUCGAACGAAGCACUUUUUUUGAUUUCCUUCGGGCCUGUUUCUUUUGUGACUGAGUGGCGGACGGGUGAGUACCGCGUGGGUAACAUGCCUUGUACAGGGGGGUAACAGUUGGAAACGGCUGCUACUACUGCAUAAGCGCACAGCAUCAGUUGCUGCAGUGUGAAAAGGUCCGGUGGCAUAAGAUGGUCUCGCGUUGGUUUAGCUUGACGGUGGGGUAACGGCCAACCAAGGCGAGGAACCAUACCCGAGCGGGGAGGGGGACCGGCCACAUUGGGACUGAGACACGGCCCAAACUCCUACGGAAGGGAGCAGUGGGGAAUAUUGCACAAGGGGCGAUAGCCUGAUGCAGCGACGCCGCGGGAGCGAGCAAGUAUUUCGGUAUGUAAAGCUGUAUCAGAAGAGGAGAGAGUGACGGUAACGGACAAAGAAGCACCGGCUAAAUACGUG